UUAGAAAGCCCAACCCCAGUCUCAGCCCUACUCGUGCACUCUAGCACUAUAGUUGUGGCAGGGAUUUUCCUACUCAUCCACUUCCACCCCUUAAUAGAAAAUAAUACGCUAAUUCAAAGCCUCACGCUAUGCUUAGGGGCUAUCACUACCCUACUCACAGCAAUCUGUGCUCUAACACAAAAUGGUAUUUAAAAAAUCGUAGCCUUCUCCACCUCAAGUCAACUAGGCCCAAUAAUAAUUACAAUCAACAUUAAUCAACCACACCUGGCAUUUCCACAGGUCUGUACUCACACUUUCUUUAAAGCCAUACUAUUUAUAUGCUCAGGGUCUAUUAUCCCUAAUCUUAACAACGAGCAAGAUAUCUGGAAAAUGGGAGGAUUAUUUAAAAUUUUACCCCUUACUUCAGCUUCCCUUAUUAUUGGCAGCCUAGCACUCACAGGCAUACCUUUCCUUGCAGGUUUCUACUCUGAAGACCUCAUCAUCGAAACAGCAAACGCGUCGUAUACCAACGCCUGAGACCUAUCUAUUACUCUCAUCGCCACUUUCCUAACAAGCACCUAUAGCGCUCAAAUUAUUUUUCUCACCUUAACAGGACAAACCUGCUCCCAACCACAAUUAAUAUUAACGAAAAUAUUCCCGCCCUAAUAAACCCAAUUAAAAGCCUCACAAUUGGCAGCCUAUUCGGAGGAUUUCUCAUCACCAAUAGUAUGUUCCCCACCUCACUUCCCCAAACAACAAUGCCACCUUACCUAAAACUUACAGCCCUAGGUGUAACUAUUCUAGGAUUCUUAGUGGCUCUAGAGCUUAGCCUUAUAACCAACAAACUCAAAGUAAAAUCCCCACUCCACACGUUUAAUUUCUCCAACAUGCUAGGAUUCUAUCCCAUCACAGUUCACCGCACAACCCCUCACCUAAAUCUAUCUGUAAGCCAAAAUCUGGCUUCACUGCUACUAGAUUUAAUUUGACUAGAAAAAUCUAUGCCUAAAACAAUUUCACAAACCCAAAUCACCGCCUCCAUUACUACUACCACUCAAAAAGUCAUAAUUAAAUUUUAUUUCCUUUCUUUAUUCUAUUCCUCC
This 1079-nucleotide long non-coding RNA is filed under the name Homo sapiens (human). RNAcentral describes it as "non-protein coding lnc-TECRL-7:1". The record is from RNAcentral. Lineage: Eukaryota; Metazoa; Chordata; Mammalia; Primates; Hominidae.